This 385-nucleotide unclassified non-coding RNA is filed under the name Hevea brasiliensis (rubber tree). Lineage: Eukaryota; Viridiplantae; Streptophyta; Magnoliopsida; Malpighiales; Euphorbiaceae. The record is from RNAcentral.
GUCAAAAUUGAUUCCCAUGACUCCUUCCACAGCUAAAACACUGGUGGUCAGUCCUGCAGAGAAAUCAAAACCCAAGAUUGGUUUGCAGCAACAUUCUUUACAUUUUGUUAAUCAAACUCGUGGUCGAGCAAGACCUGAUAGUACAAAAACAUCUAAUGAAGGCAGGCUUCAGGUUCUCAAACCAUCACGAGAAUUGAAUGGCAUCUCUUCACCUGCUAAAGAUAGCAUGAGUCCUACAAAUGGAAGCAAGCUGGUGAAUAGCUCUCCUGGAAUCACUCCAUUGGCUGCUGGAUCUGUUCACUUGAAACGCUUGGGCAGUCCAAACCAUUCCAACGCUGGGUGCCAUCCUUCUGUUUUGCGGCCAACCAUAGAGAAGAGACCAGCA